This 73-nucleotide transfer RNA is filed under the name Bacteroidota bacterium. Its description in RNAcentral is "Bacteroidetes bacterium (activated sludge metagenome) tRNA-Lys". It matches the Rfam family "tRNA". Rfam says of the family: Transfer RNA (tRNA) molecules are approximately 80 nucleotides in length. Their secondary structure includes four short double-helical elements and three loops (D, anti-codon, and T loops). Further hydrogen bonds mediate the characteristic L-shaped molecular structure. tRNAs have two regions of fundamental functional importance: the anti-codon, which is responsible for specific mRNA codon recognition, and the 3' end, to which the tRNAs corresponding amino acid is attached (by aminoacyl-tRNA synthetases). tRNAs cope with the degeneracy of the genetic code in two manners: having more than one tRNA (with a specific anti-codon) for a particular amino acid; and 'wobble' base-pairing, i.e. permitting non-standard base-pairing at the 3rd anti-codon position. The record is from RNAcentral. Lineage: Bacteria; Pseudomonadati; Bacteroidota.
GAACUCGUGGCCAAGCUGGUAAGGCACCUGACUUUUAAUCAGGGAAUCGUAGGUUCGAUUCCUACCGGGUUCA